This 1311-nucleotide ribosomal RNA is filed under the name Triticum aestivum (bread wheat). RNAcentral's name for it is "partial small subunit ribosomal RNA". The record is from RNAcentral. Lineage: Eukaryota; Viridiplantae; Streptophyta; Magnoliopsida; Poales; Poaceae.
AUGGACAUUGGGGUGCACCUCGCCAACGAGCCGCCAGGGAUCUCUUGCCUGGGCCUACGAGGCGGCAGCCCACUGACCAACAUCGAAGCCGUCGACAAAGGCGUCGUCGUCAUCACGACGACCUUCCUCCACGACUUCAGCCGCAUGCUCUAUCUCGUCUACGACGCCGUCAAUGGGUCGCUCCACAUGAUCCCGGCGCCGGAAAGCCCCUGCUGGAGGUUCACGGGCCUCACCAUUCGCAUGCUCAUCGCGCGGCCACGCCAUGGUGGGGACUAUGCCCUAGUCCUCGCGGGCAAGUUGGCGGACGACGCCGGUGGUGGAGAGGAGCAAGAUGCUCUCCUGCUGUGGCGGCCCGCCUCCUCGUCCUUGCCGCCAUGGUCUGAGGUCAAGAAGGCUACAUUCCCAAACAAGUCUUGCGUCGACAUGCGUGUGUUCCAACCCGACGUGGUAUUUUCGUUCGACGGCAUCGGCUACUGGGUGGACCUCCUGCGUGGCGUCACGUACUGCCUCUUGGACACCCUAUUCAACAACGACGGUGAUGACGACCCUGUGCUGGAGUUUGGCUUCUUUCCAUUGCCCCCAGAGUUGCCCGGAGCAGAUCACCGACGCAGCAACUCCCGGGUGGCGCAUCUGGAAGCCUACCGCACCAUGCACAUCGUCCAGGACUCCAUCAUCAAGUUGGUCUCCAUCGACGGCUUCCUCGAGCACGUCGACCUCAAGGACCGCACCGUGACGGUGUGGAGACUGUUGGACCCUGACAUGGGGUGGGAGAAAGAGUAUGAGCUCCGCCUCGAGACCCUCUGGGGACUCGAUGGAUUCCGCGACCUCCCAAAGGACAUAUCCCCCAUGUACCCUCUUUUGAGUACAGACGAUCAUGACAUUGUCUACAUCGCGCUCGGCGAGUGCCGCGAGAGCCGGAGAAUAUGGAAGUUCAUCCCAAAAUGUGCACACUAUUUGCUCGCGAUCAACAUGCGAAAUAACACCAUCCAGGCCUCCACAUGUCUUGCGGACUAUUUUGGCAGCCUUGACAUCAACCACGUCAUCUCUUGUGAUUUCAGCCGGUAUAUUUGCGUCGUGGGCCUUGAUCUCUAUAUAAUGAUGACAGAGACGAUGAGACAGAUGUCCUUGACAUCUUUGGACCCCUUUGACUAUGACGAAGCAGAGGCUACAAAGAUGAUGAAGGAGGGGCCAAGGAGCUGGCGAGAGACCUUGAAGGAUGAAGAUAGAUUUCCCCUUCCACUUCCAGCUCAUUACUAUUUGCAGCCAUCUCUGGCAAGAUUAGCCCAACAAGUUCUUCCUGACUUGGUUUGA